This is a non-coding RNA of Pelobates cultripes (western spadefoot toad), 1565 nucleotides long. NCBI's taxonomy places the organism in Eukaryota, Metazoa, Chordata, Amphibia, Anura, Pelobatidae. The record is from the annotation of a GenBank genome assembly.
UUCAGUUUGAAAAAGAACAUGGCUUUUUAAUAACAAUUGAAAAUACUUUGUUGUACAACCAACAGAAAUUCUCCUUAUUGAUAUGGGUAAGGAUUUGCAAUAGUGAUAGUUUAAUCAUAUUGAGGAUUGUUUUUAUUAAAGAGUUGUCAAGUUUCAUUUUUGCCUGUGAGCUAAAAAUAAAUCAACCACUCCCAAAAGGAUAAGUCUCAUGUUUGACACAGCACUUUCAUUUAAUUACUGAAGAGUAAAACAACAAAAUUAUAAACACAUUCAGGAACUGUAGGUACAAAGUUUCUUUUCAUCUCAAAAAGCUUUCAGCACUCACCUGGAAAAAAGAGAAUACAGUAAAUAAGAAAUUAUGAAUCACAAAAUUACUUAGGUUAUGUAUUCUUUCUGGUUUAAUUUAAAACUGUGGUUUUUCUUGUGCCAAACAAUAUGCUGAUAAACAGAAUCGGAUUUAGGGUAAACCUAUCCACAGCAUUGGGCAAUAAGUAAUAAUAGUGUUGUGGAAAUGAGAUAUUAACAUAAUUUUUAGCUAGUAAAAUGUAUAUUUACUCAUUUAACUAUAAUCAGCAUUAUCCAACUCUUAUGUGAUUAAUUAAGAUGGCCGCUAGGGAGCUUCCCCUCUAACAUCGACUAACUACCUCGUGUAACAAAAUGGCGCUGGAAUCUGGGGGAGACCCUCAUGAUACCAGUGACAUCACCCCUUGUAGGCAGAGCAUUAAAAUAACCACUUAACACCUAACCAAUUAAUGAUGUAAUAUUUCAUGUUAUCUCUGACAAUGCAUAUGAUGUAAUUCUGCUUUAAAAAGGGACUUGCCGUCCCCUCUGAAUAAACAUUCUUCAAGUUUUUCAUUAACCUGAAACUUGUGUCUGGUGAGUUACUUCAGGGAGUGUGCAUGCACUGUUUCUUUAAUUUGGCCAGGGGCAGAUACACAAAAUAAUCAAUUGAUUGAAUUGAUUUCCACUUCAAAUAGUAAUAAAAAAAAGUUCAGUAAUCAAAUGCAAUGCAGGCGCUACAAGGGUAAGGGGGAAAGGAAAAAGACAGGAAACUGCUUUCUAAAACCUACAAAAAAAAAAAAAAAAAAAGGCAAAACAAAGCGAUUUAAAGUGAACCAGUCAUAAUAGAUUCACUUUAACUGAAACCCAACCAAAUGCAUUGACUAUAGAAAAUAUAUAUAUUAUAUAUAUAUUUUGUAAAAUGUAGAGAACUACUUACAAUGGUCACCUUUGGUGGAGCCAGUAACACUCACCUGUGUCACCGUAAAAGGAUUGCCGAGCAACUAAUUGACAGGUGGGUGAAAGUCCUAUUAUUAAAUAGUAUUUUUCUCCCAAUCAAUACAUUUACAGGCAAUUCCACUAACAAAUUUUAUUGAUGGAAUUUAAUACGGUUUUAAAAUAAAGUUGUGCGUACUUGUUAUGGUACACAACAACGCAUUGGGGAGCACACUAUUCCUAGCAAGUCCUUUGAGAAAGGAAUCUGUGGAUGUUGAAUUGCAGUCAUAAGAUUCGAGAUGUGUGUUUUGACCAUUAGUAGGCUUAGUAAUGCUGAUGCCAAUAAUUGA